GCUCUGCCUACAGGGGCUUUGUGACACAUCUCUGCACUGAUCACCCUGGGGAGGGAACUCUUUUCUACGUUCUGCCUACAGGUUGUGAUAUACAUUUCCACUGAUCAAACAGGUGAUGUAACCCUUGUCAAGGUUCUGCUUACAGGGGCUUUGUGACAUAUCUCUGCACUGAUCACCCCAAGGAGGAAACACUUGUCUACACUCUGCCUAGAGGAGGCUUUACGACUUAACCCUGCACUGGUCACUAGGUGAUGUAACACUUGUCUAGGCUGUGUCUACACGGGAAUUUUCAAAUAUCUCUACACUGAGCACCUAAGUGAUGUAACCCUUGUCUAUGUUUAGCCUACUGGGGAUUUCUGACAUACCUAUGCACUGAUCACCUAGGUGAUGUAAAUCAUUUCCAGGCUUUUUGUACAGGGGACAUUGUGAUAUAUCUCUGCGCUGAUCACCCAAAUGAUGCAAAUCUUCUCUAGGCUCCGGAGGGAGGGGGCAUUGGGACAUAUUUCUGAACCGAUCAUCCAGGAGAUGUAACCAUUCUCCAGACUUUGACUAAAGAGCGUCGGAAUGUGUUGGGAGAACCUCAGCCAGAAUUUCACAGAUGGACAAGGGCACAGAGAGGCCAGCGGGCUCCCUUGCACGUCAGCCGGAGUGCGCAAUGAGCGCAGGUCUAGCCAGGAGGCCGGCAAGGAGAGCUAGAGGUCUG
RNAcentral lists this long non-coding RNA (703 nucleotides) under Homo sapiens (human). Its description in RNAcentral is "HSALNT0288264". Lineage: Eukaryota; Metazoa; Chordata; Mammalia; Primates; Hominidae. The record is from RNAcentral.